GUUAAAGGGCGCUUCUGUUUUAGAUCUGACUUCAAGCAAACUUUCCAAAGUAAUCAGCUGUGGGAUGGCUGCCUGGGGUGUGCUGUGCCUCCAAGCCCCCUGUUAUCUACUGGGAUUCUGCCAGGACCACAAAGGUACCACAAACCCCAACUCUCAGGUGGGACUUCACUGCUGAGGCACAGCCAGGUGUCACACCCCUGCUGCCCUGGGAUUUUGGCACCUCUGGAUACACACACCACCGGGAAGGCAGAGCUUCAGGGAUCAAGCAGACCUGGUGAAUUUGGGCAGUUUGGUAACCAUACAGAACUGUCACAUCCUUUUCAGUCCAUAAACUUCUUAUUAAGGACUAUCAAAGACAAUCUAAGAAAUAAACAUGGCUAAACAGAACGCUGCUGGGAUCAGAAUCAGCAGAUCAAGGAGCUGCUGUCAACUGCUCUGCCCAAGGGAGGACUUUUCUUGUGAUGUGAGGAGGGGCUGCACAUGAAAAAGUGAGAGGAGCAGAGGGGUGAGUACUCAUAAUGACCAUUUCUCCAAUUCUGACUGAAAAAAAAUCAGCCGUACCAUUGAUUCUUGGUAUAUUUUCGUUAAGUCUCACUUAAUGACAAAAGCCUAAUAAUUCCUCCAACUCACAACUCUCAUACAUAAAACUAAAGUUGACUCCCUAAUUCAGCCAGCGAAUGGCAGCAGAUUCAGGCUGGCGGAUGAAACACUUAUGGCCC
This 719-nucleotide long non-coding RNA is filed under the name Anas platyrhynchos platyrhynchos (common mallard). RNAcentral describes it as "lncRNA (ENSAPLG00000020465.1)". Lineage: Eukaryota; Metazoa; Chordata; Aves; Anseriformes; Anatidae. The record is from RNAcentral.